UACGUAGGUGGCAAGCGUUAUCCGGAAUUACUGGGUGUAAAGGGCGCGCAGGCGGCCCUGCAAGUCGGAUGUGAAAGAUCAAGGCUCAACCUUGACAGGCCAUUCGAAACUGUGGGACUUGAGUGUCAGAGGGGAAAGUGGAAUUCCUAGUGGAGCGGUAAAAUGCGCAGAUAUUAGGAGGAACACCGGUGGCGAAGGCGGCUUACUGGACGAUUACUGACGUUGAGGCUCGAAAGCGUGGGGAGCAAACAGGAUUAGAUACCCUGGUAGU
This 271-nucleotide ribosomal RNA is filed under the name uncultured prokaryote. RNAcentral describes it as "partial 16S ribosomal RNA". It matches the Rfam family "Bacterial small subunit ribosomal RNA", at positions 524 to 794 of the family's 1533-position model. The record is from RNAcentral.